GGGGGUGUAGCUCAUAUGGUA
This 21-nucleotide non-coding RNA is filed under the name Arabidopsis thaliana (thale cress). The record is from RNAcentral. Lineage: Eukaryota; Viridiplantae; Streptophyta; Magnoliopsida; Brassicales; Brassicaceae.